Molecule: non-coding RNA, 437 nt
Organism: Pelobates cultripes (western spadefoot toad)
Lineage: Eukaryota; Metazoa; Chordata; Amphibia; Anura; Pelobatidae
Source: the annotation of a GenBank genome assembly
UUUUUAAAUCCAAGCUUUGUGUCACCAGAUCUAAGUGGUGGCAAUGGUCACCGUAUCCACUGUUAGCGUAACACACCCGCUUUAAGGACACUGACUGCUAUUCAAUAUACAACAGUGAAAAAAGUGGUUGUUUUUUUUUAAAUACAAGCUUUGUGUCACCAGAUCUAAGUGGUGGCAAUGGUCACCGUAUCCACUGUUAGCGUAACACACCCGCUUUAAGGACACUGACUGCUAUUCAAUAUAUAACAGUGAAAAAAGUGGUUGUUUUUUUUUAAAUCCAAGCUUUGUGUCACCAGAUCUAAGUGGUGGCAAUGGUCACCGUAUCCACUGUUAGCGUAACACACCCGCUUUAAGGACACUGACUGCUAUUCAAUAUAUAACAGUGAAAAAAGUGGUUGCUUUUUUUUAAAUACAAGCUUUGUGUCACCAGAUCUAAG